GAUGAACGCUAGCUACAGGCUUAACACAUGCAAGUCGAGGGGAAACGACAUCGACUGCUUGCUUUUGAUGGGCGUCGACCGGCGCACGGGUGAGUAACGCGUAUCCCACCUGCCCAUCACUUGGGAAUAACCUUGCGAAAGUAAGACUAAUACCCAAUGUCAUCCCCCGAAGACAUCUGAAUGGGACUAAAGAUUUAUCGGUGAUGGAUGGGGACGCGUCUGAUUAGCUAGUUGGCGAGGUAACGGCCUACCAAGGCAACGAUGCGUAGGCGAUCUGAGAGGGGGAGCGGACCAACGGGAAGGGAGAAAGGGUACAGAGUCCGACGGGAGGCAGCAGUAGGGAAUCGUGCGCAAUGGGGGAAAGCCUGACGGAGCAACGAAGAGUGAGUGAUGAAGGUCUUCGGAUCGUAAAACUCUGUUAUUAGGGAAGAACAAAUGUGUAAGUAACUAUGCACGUCUUGACGGUACCUAAUCAGAAAGCCACGGCUAACUACGUG
RNAcentral lists this ribosomal RNA (497 nucleotides) under uncultured bacterium. Its description in RNAcentral is "partial 16S ribosomal RNA". It matches the Rfam family "Bacterial small subunit ribosomal RNA", at positions 28 to 507 of the family's 1533-position model. The record is from RNAcentral.